Molecule: transfer RNA, 76 nt
Filed under: Pseudomonadota bacterium
Lineage: Bacteria; Pseudomonadati; Pseudomonadota
Also listed under: 2 other names
Description: tRNA-Val
Rfam family: tRNA
About the family: Transfer RNA (tRNA) molecules are approximately 80 nucleotides in length. Their secondary structure includes four short double-helical elements and three loops (D, anti-codon, and T loops).
Source: RNAcentral
AGGCGCGUAGCUCAGAUGGGAGAGCGCUACCUUGACACGGUAGAGGUCAGCGGUUCGAUCCCGCUCGCGCCUACCA